GACGAACGCUGGCGGCGUGCCUAAUACAUGCCAGUCGAACGAGAGCGACCGGUGCUUGCACUGGUCAAUCUAGUGGCGAACGAGUGAGUAACACGUGGGUAACCUGCCCAUCAGAGGGGGAUAACAUCCGGAAACGGAUGCUAAAACCGCAUAGGUCUUCGAGCCGCAUGGCUUGAAGAGGAAAAGAGGCGCAAGCUUCUGCUGAUGGAUGGACCCGCGGUGCAUUAGCUAGUUGGUGAGGUAACGGCUCACCAAGGCCGUGAUGCAUAGCCGACCUGAGAGGGUGAUCGGCCACAUUGGGACUGAGACACGGCCCAAACUCCUACGGGAGGCAGCAGUAGGGAAUCUUCCGCAAUGGACGCAAGUCUGACGGAGCAACGCCGCGUGAGUGAAGAAGGUUUUCGGAUCGUAAAACUCUGUUGUUAGAGAAGAACAAGUGCUAGAGUAACUGUUAGCGCCUUGACGGUAUCUAACCAGAAAGCCACGGCUAACUACGUG
This 498-nucleotide ribosomal RNA is filed under the name uncultured bacterium. Its description in RNAcentral is "partial 16S ribosomal RNA". It matches the Rfam family "Bacterial small subunit ribosomal RNA", at positions 28 to 507 of the family's 1533-position model. The record is from RNAcentral.